AUUCCUCCCACUAGCU
RNAcentral lists this transfer RNA (16 nucleotides) under Oreolalax lichuanensis (Lichuan lazy toad). Its description in RNAcentral is "partial tRNA-Leu". Lineage: Eukaryota; Metazoa; Chordata; Amphibia; Anura; Megophryidae. The record is from RNAcentral.